This 301-nucleotide ribosomal RNA is filed under the name uncultured bacterium. RNAcentral's name for it is "partial 16S ribosomal RNA". It matches the Rfam family "Bacterial small subunit ribosomal RNA", at positions 509 to 807 of the family's 1533-position model. The record is from RNAcentral.
CAGCCGCCGCGGGAAUACAGAGGGUGCAAGCGUUAAUCGGAGUUACUGGGCGUAAAGGGCGCGUAGGCGGUUAUAUAAGUCAGAUGUGAAAUCCCCGGGCUCAACCUGGGAACUGCAUUUGAGACUGUAUGGCUAGAGUGUGUCAGAGGGGGGUAGAAUUCCACGUGUAGCAGUGAAAUGCGUAGAUAUGUGGAGGAAUACCGAUGGCGAAGGCAGCCCCCUGGGAUAACACUGACGCUCAUGCACGAAAGCGUGGGGAGCAAACAGGAUUAGAUACCCCCGUAGUCCCUGUCUCUUAUAC